Molecule: ribosomal RNA, 262 nt
Filed under: Escherichia coli
Lineage: Bacteria; Pseudomonadati; Pseudomonadota; Gammaproteobacteria; Enterobacterales; Enterobacteriaceae
Description: partial 16S ribosomal RNA
Rfam family: Bacterial small subunit ribosomal RNA
Source: RNAcentral
UUAAAUUGAAGAGUUUGAUCAUGGCUCAGAUUGAACGCUGGCGGCAGGCCUAACACAUGCAAGUCGAACGGUAACAGGAAUCAGCUUGCUGAUUUGCUGACGAGUGGCGGACGGGUGAGUAAUGUCUGGGAAACUGCCUGAUGGAGGGGGAUAACUACUGGAAACGGUAGCUAAUACCGCAUAACGUCGCAAGACCAAAGAGGGGGACCUUCGGGCCUCUUGCCAUCGGAUGUGCCCAGAUGGGAUUAGCUAGUAGGUGGGG